Long non-coding RNA from Branchiostoma floridae (Florida lancelet), 455 nucleotides. RefSeq lists it as uncharacterized. Lineage: Eukaryota; Metazoa; Chordata; Leptocardii; Amphioxiformes; Branchiostomatidae. The record is from RefSeq and is a predicted model, not a curated record. The transcript is spliced from 3 exons.
ACAAGUACAGUUGUAGCCCCCAUGUGUGUUGGUACAGGUAGCAGUUUCAUGACAGAGGUCUAUUCCUUGGGCGCAUUCGUCGACGUCUGGAGAAAGAGAAGGCAUUUUUAUACUGCCAUUGAAGUCAUCAUCAAGGAUCGAUGAACACCCCAGAAAGGCAGAGAUGAUGUCUGAACAAAAAGACCUUACCUUAUGCCUUAUGUCUUACCUUCUUCACAUCCCUCUGGAAGGUUCCCUGACGAAGGGCAGACCUUACAUUCUGUCUGGGCCUCUUCGUCCUGAUACCAGCCAGGUGGACACGGUAGGCAGGUGUUGUUUUGAUGUGGAUGUCGAAGGUGGGCAGGAGACCGACAUAGUUAACUGCUUCUAGCGACUCCCCUCCUACUUCGAGGUUGAAGUUCCUCGCUGCUACUCUGGCGCGAAUCUCAAAGUACAUGUUGUCCAGUGCUCCGAUG